AUGCUGCUCCAGGAGACGAGGACGCUUCAUGUACGUGUUAAAGCUGUACAAUUUAGGCUUUUAUACUACAUAUCUAACUUCAUAUUGUUCUUGUAGUCAAUUUCAAUUCAUAUCAGUUCUUGAAGUCAUGUACAUACAAACAAGCUCGACUUAUAGUGCAUGUAGAAGCUGAGAUGUGUAGUCUUAACAAAUUUUAAAUAAAGAAAAACACCAAAUAGCAGUCAAAACAAAACCAAGCAAGUAAAACAAGAUGUAGC
Molecule: long non-coding RNA, 257 nt
Filed under: Brassica rapa (field mustard)
Lineage: Eukaryota; Viridiplantae; Streptophyta; Magnoliopsida; Brassicales; Brassicaceae
Description: long non-coding RNA (BRAP_LNC006487)
Source: RNAcentral